RNAcentral lists this ribosomal RNA (431 nucleotides) under uncultured bacterium. Its description in RNAcentral is "bacterial SSU rRNA". It matches the Rfam family "Bacterial small subunit ribosomal RNA", at positions 216 to 661 of the family's 1533-position model. The record is from RNAcentral.
CGCCCAAGGAUGAGCCCGCGUAGGAUUAGCUAGUUGGUGGGGUAAAGGCUCACCAAGGCGACGAUCCUUAGCUGGUCUGAGAGGAUGAUCAGCCACACUGGGACUGAGACACGGCCCAGACUCCUACGGGAGGCAGCAGUAGGGAAUAUUGGACAAUGGGCGAAAGCCUGAUCCAGCAAUGCCGCGUCGUGAGUGAUGAAGGCCUUAGGGUUGUAAAGCUCUUUUACCCGGGAUGAUAAUGACAGUACCGGGAGAAUAAGCUCCGGCUAACUCCGUGCCAGCAGCCGCGGUAAUACGGAGGGAGCUAGCGUUGUUCGGAAUUACUGGGCGUAAAGCGCACGUAGGCGGCUAUUCAAGUCAGAGGUGAAAGCCCGGGGCUCAACCCCGGAACUGCCUUUGAAACUAGAUAGCUUGAAUCCAGGAGAGGUGAG